UGCGUAGGCGGGGCAAUUAGUCAGUGGUGAAAUCCUGCGGCUUAACCGUAGAACUGCCAUUGAUACUGUUGCCCUUGAGUAUAGUUGAGGUGGGCGGAAUGUGUAAUGUAGCGGUGAAAUGCAUAGAGAUUACACAGAACACCAACUGCGAAGGCAGCUCACUAAGCUAUAACUGACGCUGAGGCACGAAAGCGUGGGGAGCGAACAGGAUUAGAUACCCUGGUAGUCC
RNAcentral lists this ribosomal RNA (229 nucleotides) under uncultured bacterium. RNAcentral describes it as "partial 16S ribosomal RNA". It matches the Rfam family "Bacterial small subunit ribosomal RNA", at positions 568 to 796 of the family's 1533-position model. The record is from RNAcentral.